GAACUCUAGAUUCCACAUUGACCUCUCUUACUGGGUUUUUGUGAUACUUCUUCCUCUAACCCUACUUAUAUAACUAUUACUUAGUCAAUAUGUGCAGAACUCAUUCUCUUACCCCCAACACACCUGUUUACCCAACUUCCCAACUACUAUCAAAGGUAAAACUAUUCUUUAAAGUUCAGUGUCAUCUUUGAAUCCAAAUUAGCAUUCAUUCCACCUACCCUGUCUGUUAAGAAUUUUUAUGAUAUAUACCUUAAUAAUGAUUCUUAUUUGUAUAAACCUACAAAUAUUACAAUUAUGCAUAUUAAAUAUGUCUAUUUACAUAUUAUUCACUGUGCAUAUCUAUUAGAUAUUAUGCAUAUAUAUAAUUUUAUAGGUAUAUAUAUAAUUGCCAAUUAAGGGAAUCUAGAUUUUCUAAUAGGCUUUUUUUUUUAUCUUUCAGACUCCAUCUUUCCAGUUGUACUAGAGAUGAAAACUUGGUGAAUUAUAGUGGGGGGAAAUGUAUCGAUGUUGCACCAGGAAGUAAGCAAAAGAAAGAGACUGAAUCUUGAGCCCCUCUCCUACACUACUUCCUGUUUCUUCCUUACCAACUGUCUGGAUGAAGGUUUUUCUCACAGAUGUUAUUUUUUGGCCACCUAAGGGAUCAGCAACAUCUGCACUGAACCAUUUUCAGCAGGAAUUACAGCAUAAACUGCGUGAACUCCAUGAAUCCGGAACUGCAGUACAAGCCGGACCACUAGACUUUUCACUUCAUGACCUGAACCCAGGAGAAAAGGUGUACAUUAAGAAUUUCCAGUGUCCUGGAGUAACUCAGCCUUCCUGGAAAGGACUAUUCCAAAUAUUGUUAACUACUCCAACAUCUAUAAAGGUUGGAGAGAAGGACUCUUGGUUUCAUUGCUCACAGAUAUUUUUCUUCAUUCUUUGUAUGAUAUGUGAGAGAAAAGAAGAAUGA
RNAcentral lists this long non-coding RNA (949 nucleotides) under Monodelphis domestica (gray short-tailed opossum). Its description in RNAcentral is "lncRNA (ENSMODG00000035948.2)". The record is from RNAcentral. Lineage: Eukaryota; Metazoa; Chordata; Mammalia; Didelphimorphia; Didelphidae.